Brassica napus (rape) is the source of this 3589-nucleotide long non-coding RNA. RefSeq lists it as uncharacterized. NCBI's taxonomy places the organism in Eukaryota, Viridiplantae, Streptophyta, Magnoliopsida, Brassicales, Brassicaceae. The transcript is spliced from 7 exons. The record is from RefSeq and is a predicted model, not a curated record.
UCCAUACGAUUCUGCUUCUGCGUAUCCGCUUAUGUUUCCAUGUAACGUAGAUUUAAACUGAAAAUAAUAAUAUCAUACUAACAAACUAAUUUUUUUAACCGAAAUUUUAAAACAAAGCUUAAUAUUAACAAGCUUAAUAAAAAUCCAUAUGUUAAUAUUUGAUUCAACAUAAAAAUUAAAUUGGAUAUGCAAUAACCCUAAAUAAAAAUUUGAAAAAAUAACUUAAAAUAAAAAAAAAACAAAUUAUAUCAUAAAAUAUGUAUAGAUAUAGUAGUUUGUAUAUACAAUUACAUUACAUAUUUUUAAAUAUAUGGAUAGGAUUGGAUCUGGUAUCCGGCUUUCCAAGAAAAUGAUAUUUGUGAUUUGCUUCAUUUUUACGGAUAUCAUCUUUUAUAUUGGCUUUGAUUCGAAGCAUUACGGUUAUCCGGAUUUUUUGGAUCAAAUUGAAAUGAAUAACGAAUCGGUUCAAAUUUAACAGAUAAUUUGUCCGCCCUAGAUAUUAUAUACACAAUGGUUUUUUUUUAUCAAGGACAAUAAUUAAGACGCCUUAAUCGAGGUGUGAACAAAGUGAACGGCAUUCUUCUCCCACUUUAUUCUCAGUCAAUAAAAGAUAACUUAUAAAGGAAAAACAUAAGUAGCUUAUAAUAUAAUAUUUGACAUAUAUACUAAAACUCUACUAGAUAUAUACCUAUUAUAGAACUUCACUGAUUAAAGUAUAACAGCUAAUUUCUACACAACUCCCUUUUCUUUUGAGCCAGCCCUAUUUAAGUAAACGAAACUAGGAAUCCGAUGUGAAACAAAAUGCAUAAAAAAAUAUUUCAGUUUAGUAGAUGAAUGACUGAUGAGAAAUAUUUAAUUGGUACUGAUUUUUUUUUUUUUUUUCAUCAUAACUUCUUUGCUUUUCAUAUCAAAAAACUCAAACUUGUUAAAUAAACUUUAGUCAUGAAGCUGUAGUAGUAGUACACAAGCUUUAAACUCUGUUCAUACUUUAAAGAACACAGUUAGACCAUGAUUAUCGCUGAUCCUUAAUGGGUUUUUAAUCAAAAAAACUGAUUUAAUUAAAUCAAAACUAAUUAAAAGGAAAGUUACCGAUCCUUAAUUUGGGACUUUGGGGAUCGAUUACUAAUAGGGUUUUUGUUCCACCUGUCAACUUUCAAUCUUCUUCUUCUUCGGAAUCUCGUCAUUUCGAUCGAUCAAAAUCGGAGAUGGCUGCGGCGGUUCUGUUCUGGAGAGCGGCGGGGAAAGCCCCAGAAACCAGGGUGAGCCAGGUUUCUACUGGUUUGGAUUCAUUAUGUGCAUUAGUGCAACUGCAGCAAGAGCUUUUAAAUAUGUUCUUCAAGGCAUUUUACUUUCUUCCGAGGGAGAAAAGUUGAAUUCGAUGAGCUUAAUGUUGUACAUGUUCCCUAUAGCCGUCAUUGCGCUUCUACCCGUCACAAUAGUAAUGAAACCAAAUGUGAUGAGUGUGAUUCUAUCGCUGGCAAGACAACAUCGGUACAUGUGGAUACUUCUCUUGGUUACCAAGCACACAAGCAGGCUUAUCCUCCAGCUACUCAACAAUCGCAUGGGCAGCUUCGAUGAGUAAAGGCGUUCGCGAAGAUGUUGAAUAUGGUUACAAAGAAAAAUCAACAGUCGGUAUGGUUUUCAACUUCUUCAGCGGUUUAGGUGAUGUGGCAUUCGCUUACGCAGGCCAAAAUGUGGUCCUUGAGAUCCAAGCAACGAUCCCUUCGACUCCUUAGAAACCAUCAAAAGGCCCAAUGUGGAAAGGAGUCAUCGUUGCUUACAUCAUUGUUGCACUUUGUUAUUUUCCGGUGGCUCUCGUCGGAUACUACAAUUUUGGGAACAGUGUUGAAGAUAAUAUUCUCAUAUAUCACUUAAAAAGCCAGCUUGGUUAAUCGCGACCGCUAACAUCUUUGUCGUGAUCCAUGUUAUCGGUAGUUACCAGAUAUAUGCAAUGCCGGUUUUCGAAAUGAUGGAAACUUUAUUGGUUAAAAAGCUUAAUUUUAGACCAACCACGAUUCUCCGGUUCUGUGUUCGUAGUUUCUAUGUUGCUGCAACUAUGUUUCUUGGUAUGACGUUCCCGAUCUUUGGUGGCCUUUUGGCGUUCUUUGGUGGAUUCGCGUUUGCUCCUACGACAUACUUCAUAAGAUUGUGAUCUCUAAACUUUUUCUCCAUUUUGAAUUAGUUACUAAUAAUAGAAACUUACUCUAAUUUAAAUACCACUAUUGUUUUCAGCUACCUUGCAUAAUUUGGCUAGCCAUCUACAAACCUAGGAAGUACGGCUUGUCUUGGUGGGCCAACUGGGUAUGUAUCGCGUUUGGUAUUUUCUUAAUGGUCUUGUCGCCUAUUGGAGAGCUAAGGACGAUCGUUAUUCAAGCAAAGGAAUACCAGUUUUACUCGUAAAUGCGGUUUAAUAUGACUAAUGUUUAGAGACAUAUUUAUAUAUUAAUGUGUGUGAAGAAGAUUUUAAAAGAUUGUUGGGUAUGGGCCUAGCCCUCUCAAAAGGCCCACAAGACAAUUAUCCAGGUACAUGAUUACAACAAAGAGAGUCGGCUCGUCGACUUGCAAGCCGGCGAUCGGCUCGGCUUUAGACUACUUUUGGUCGCUGAGACGACUGACUGAAUGUCAUCGGCUCGACGACUUGACUCAGCGGCCCGACACCUCGGCCCAACUACUCGAGGAGGCCCAUCGAAACAGAGCGUAUUAGGUCAACAAGCAUUUGUCUAUAAAAGAAGGAGGAAAGGCAACAAGGAAGGGGAUCCGCAAAUCACUACACUUACUUUCGGCUAGACUUAUGGUUUUAUAUCUUACAUUUCGCCGACUUGUACGGUCCGACGAACUAGCCUUCGCCGGACUAUUUCCUUUGCUUUCUUCCCCUUUUGUAACACUAUUUCGACUCAUUGAUCUAAUAAAACACGUCUUUGUUUUGAUCCACCGACGAGAACUCGUCCUUUCUUUUUACUAGUUUAUCGACAGUCUCGGUUCAAACAAAGAUCAACAUGAAACAUAUAACAAUCCGUCUCUUAACUUUUAACUAAAAAAACUAAGAACCGGUUUUUAAAUAAGAUAUUUAAAAACUGGUUCUUAAUUUUUUUAGUUAAAAGUUAAGAGACGCUAAAAAUCCCACCCUAAAAACUCACUAAUAAUCAUGUUCUAAUAAUCUCUGGUCUGAGGAUUGAAUUUAUAAUAGCAUUUAGUGCUUGUGUCUUGGUGUGUUUAUAUCUAUCGACAAUAUAUUUUGUUGUGCCAAAAUAGAAUAUAUUUUGUUCUUCCUUAUUAUAAAAUGUUUGAUUAUUUAUGUUCUCAAGAAAAACUAGAUAUAUAUAUAUCCCUUUCUUAUUAAAGGAGGAGCAUUGAUAAAAAUAAACCUUGGCCUCAUGUGUUUAUUACAUGAGUGCCAUUUCCUAGGUGUCAUCACCACAUGCACUCUCACCAACUUUUUUUAAAAACCCUUUCUCAACUAGAAUAGUUACAAACAAAUACCACUGGUCAUUACAUUAUACUAUAUGGUUUUCGGAUUUCAAAAAUAACUUUCGGAUUAUGUUUGUGGUAAGUCAUUAAUGCUUGAUUAAAUUCAGAUUCCAAAAAAAAA